CGUGCGGCAGCGUACACAUGCAGUCGAGCGGAACGAUCCUAGCUUGCUAGGAGGCGUCGAGCGGCGGACGGGUGAGUAAUGCAUAGGAAUCUGCCCGGUAGUGGGGGAUAACUUGAGGAAACUCAAGCUAAUACCGCAUACGCCCCAAGGGGGAAAGCAGGGGAUCUUCGGACCUUGCGCUAUCGGAUGAGCCUAUGUCGGAUUAGCUAGUUGGUGAGGUAAUGGCUCACCAAGGCCGCGAUCCGUAGCUGGUCUGAGAGGAUGAUCAGCCACAUCGGGACUGAGACACGGCCCGAACUCCUACGGGAGGCAGCAGUGGGGAAUAUUGGACAAUGGGCGAAAGCCUGAUCCAGCCAUGCCGCGUGUGUGAAGAAGGCCUUCGGGUUGUAAAGCACUUUCAGCGAGGAAGAACGCUUGUGGGUUAAUACCCCGCAAGAAGGACAUCACUCGCAGAAGAAGCACCGGCUAACUCCGUGCCAGCAGCCGCGGUAAUACGGAGGGUGCAAGCGUUAAUCGGAAUUACUGGGCGUAAAGCGCGCGUAGGCGGCUUGAUAAGCCGGUUGUGAAAGCCCCGGGCUCAACCUGGGAACGGCAUCCGGAACUGUCAG
Molecule: ribosomal RNA, 608 nt
Rfam family: Bacterial small subunit ribosomal RNA